Molecule: long non-coding RNA, 2549 nt
Organism: Phascolarctos cinereus (koala)
Lineage: Eukaryota; Metazoa; Chordata; Mammalia; Diprotodontia; Phascolarctidae
Source: RefSeq, a predicted model, not a curated record
CUCGGUCUCGGCGGUGUCGGGGCCCUCUUUUCGGAUUCCGGAGGCGGUGGGGUCCCUCCGUUGCCCCUCAGGACUUCGACGACUCGGUUUCGUUCACGGGGCAGAAAGGGGAGUGUCCCGCUCCAGUCGUCCCUCUAUUUCAGGACGUCCCCGCCCCCUCCUGGCUUAGGGGAGCUACCUAGUAUUUCCCCUCGACUCACCGGCUCAGGGAUUCCCCACUUAGGUGGAAAAUCCUUUAUAGAUGUAAUGUUCUCCACAUAGUGGACAAUGAGGAAAUGCUGACUGGUUGGUAUGCCAUCUCCUUCUUCAUCCAAAAUCAUUCCUAAAUAUGCUGAACAGCAGGAAAGAAAGCCCAGAUCCCCAUGGCACUCCACUACAGAUGCCGUCACAUUGCCUUUGGCCUUUGCAUCCUGGUAUUUCACCUCUUCGGAAUCCACACAGCUGUACUGUCAUCUAGUCUCUCUUAUCCACAAGAGACCUUGCCUGGUAACUUAUAAAGCAAGAUAUGACUGACAAAUAAGUGAGGUAGGCAAGGAACGUCUGCUUAUGUUCCAAAGGCUGAACCUUUAUUAACCAAUCCUCCUCGCCCCCAUUACAUUUGUAGCUAACUUAUAUGAAUUUUGUAUAAACCUGUAUAUGUAUCUGCUAUCUCCCACAUUAGAGCGUCAAGCUCCCAGAGCACCAGGACCAUUUGCUUUUGCUUUUGUAUCCCCACCACCUGGCAUAGUGCUUAGCACAGUAGCUGUCACUUAACUAAUGCUUGAUUGAUGAAUUGAUUAAACUCUAGUGCCACCAUUGCCACUAAAAACUUUCUAUAUCUUAAUUUUCUCAUUUGUUAAGUUACAACAUUUAUACUUUAAGGAUAAAGUGCUAAUGUGAAAAUGCUUUCAAAAGUUUAAAUCUAAAUUAUUAAUCUCUAUAUGGUAGUCAUUCAAAAGAGUUAUUAUACUUAGUUAUCUCCUUUGGAGGAAAGCCUUCAUUUCUCAGUUUUAUUAGGUUAUUUUAAAUUAUUUAAAUCGUAAUGGGAUAGAAAAAAUUCAAUCUGAGUUUUAAUACAUAUAGUAGAUUACAAUGGAUACUCAUAGGAGGAAAGAUGAAAAAAACAAACAACUACAUUUAUACCCUUCAAAAGUUGUGGAACAUAGCACCAGCAAGGCAUUUUUUCUUGAUUUACAUCUUCUUGCAAUAUGCUGAUUACCCCCACACACUUUAAAUAUAAAAUUUGAUGACCCUUGUAAUUUUACUUUUAAUAUGCACAGGUAGUUGAAUACUAAAUACAAAUAGUAUCGUUCUGCUAGCAACUACUCGGUGGAAUAAACCUUCUAAGGGCCCCAUGAGCCUUUGCCAUUUAUUUGCCAUUUAUUUACUCAUUCUUUGUGCCUUUGCAUAGGCUAGUUUAAUAAUGAAUUUACAGAUCAUUCCAGGCAUAUUGUAUGGCUGUGAAUUGUGGACAUAAAUCUUUGAAAUAUUAAAGUUGUGGAUUAUAAUUUUUCUAAUUCAUAAAAAUGCUGAAUGGCACAGCAUUGAAGCUGUGGGAGAGAAAUAUAGUAUGAAUGAGCAGGCUGCAGUACAUUACAAAUGAAGAAUUAUUCAAGAGAAGUCACGUAAAUGGUAUCAUUGAAGAAAUGCAUGACUGGGAAAAAUGAUGGACUUGGUCACGUAGUGGGAAUGAGGGGCUGACCUUGUGCGCCAUUGGUUUCACACAAUGUGAAGAGAAUUGAAGAAAGGCACCCAGCUCAUUCAGAAGAACCUCAGUGGAAAAUUUCUGGUAGGACAUGGACAAGAGGCACUUAGAUUGGGAUGGAAGAAGGAGGCUCAGAAUAAAGACUUGGGAGACACCCACGAUUGAGGGCACUACUUGGAAGAAGAUUCAACAAAAGAUUGAGAAGCAACAGUCAGACGGUAAGGGGAAUCAGGAGAACCAGGAGAGAGAAAUGUCAUGAAAACCUGGAGAGGAGAUGGUGUUUGGGAGAAGUGGGCUAACAAUGUGAAAGAAUAAAAAAGAGAUUGAGAAGGAUGAGGAUUGAGAAAAAAUUGGAUUUGGCAAUUAAGUGAUCCUUGGUGAGCAGUUUCAAUUAAAUGAUAAUAUCAAAGGAUUUAAAAGUGAUUGGAGGCAACCUGUAUUAAUGGCUUUCUAAAGGUUUUUAGCUUAGAAGAGAAGAGAUAAAGGUAGGAAAGAGGGUAGAAUCAAGUGAAUUUUUUUUUUUUAAGGAUGGGGCACAUGAGAUGUUAAUUUUUUUCAGUGAAGUAUAAGUGAAGACCUCAGCUGAGAGAGGAAGGAGAAGGGGCUCUGAAGAGGUAUGGAAAGGAAAAGCUGCUGUACUGAGUGGGAGAAUGAAUUCAUUAUGGAGGCAUGAAAGGAUUGCCUUGCUGCAGUGAGGGCCCAAUUCAGAUUAUGUAAAUAUACAUUUGUAGUAGAACUAGUUGCCAUAGAGUCCUAAUUUCCUCCAGCACCAUUAAGUAUCACAUGAAUAAGAGCAUAGGCAUAGUAUUGUGGGAGAAAUAUAAGGUUAAAACCAAAUUACUUGUAUCAAGAAUGAAAAGGGAGA